GGGCAAAGGAGGAUUCGACUUUUCAUUAAAUGAGUAAACAAAUGAGAGUACAAUAUGGAGAAAAUAGCCUAAAUGUACAACAUGUACAUUACCCAAAACCCUGAAUACAAAGCUCAAAAUUCCAAAGAGCAAACCGAUAAACAAAACGCUAAAUCUCAUAGGGCACUCACAAAAGGGAUAUAAAAUACUCUCCAUAAUUACCACGAAGCUCUCA
This 214-nucleotide long non-coding RNA is filed under the name Gossypium raimondii (Peruvian cotton). RNAcentral describes it as "long non-coding RNA (GRAI_LNC000149)". The record is from RNAcentral. Lineage: Eukaryota; Viridiplantae; Streptophyta; Magnoliopsida; Malvales; Malvaceae.